This 260-nucleotide ribosomal RNA is filed under the name uncultured bacterium. RNAcentral's name for it is "partial 16S ribosomal RNA". It matches the Rfam family "Bacterial small subunit ribosomal RNA", at positions 793 to 1055 of the family's 1533-position model. The record is from RNAcentral.
GUCCACGCCGUAAACGAUGAUGGCUGGGUGUUGGCGAUACACCGUCAGCGCCUGAGGGAAACCAUUAAGCCAUCCACCUGGGGAGUACGGCCGCAAGGCUGAAACUCAAAGGAAUUGACGGGGGCCCCGCACAAGCGGAGGAACAUGUGGUUUAAUUCGAUGAUACGCGAGGAACCUUACCUGGGCUAGAACGCUUCUGGAAUGCUGCGGAAACGUGGCAGCCGGCAACGGCCGGGAGCGAGGUGCUGCAUGGUUGUCGU